This 274-nucleotide ribosomal RNA is filed under the name uncultured bacterium. Its description in RNAcentral is "partial 16S ribosomal RNA". It matches the Rfam family "Bacterial small subunit ribosomal RNA", at positions 523 to 796 of the family's 1533-position model. The record is from RNAcentral.
AUACGGAGGGUGCGAGCGUUAAUCGGAAUUACUGGGCGUAAAGCGCGCGUAGGCGGUUUAGUAAGUCGGAUGUGAAAGCCCUGGGCUCAACCUGGGAAUUGCAUUCGAAACUGCUUAACUAGAGGAUGGUAGAGGGAAGUGGAAUUUUCGGUGUAGCGGUGAAAUGCGUAGAUAUCGGAAGGAACACCAGUGGCGAAGGCGACUUCCUGGGCCAAUACUGACGCUGAGGUGCGAAAGCGUAGGGAGCAAACAGGAUUAGAAACCCCGGUAGUCC